The sequence is a regulatory RNA element, 68 nucleotides long. It matches the Rfam family "terC RNA". The record is from Rfam.
GAUGCGGGCCGGGCCCCUCUGACGCGCUGGACUUCCCCCUUGUCCAGCCGUGAUGUCGGACCGCAUCG